RNAcentral lists this ribosomal RNA (497 nucleotides) under uncultured bacterium. RNAcentral describes it as "partial 16S ribosomal RNA". It matches the Rfam family "Bacterial small subunit ribosomal RNA", at positions 28 to 507 of the family's 1533-position model. The record is from RNAcentral.
GAUGAACGCUGGCGGCGUGCCUAAUACAUGCAAGUCGAGCGAACAGAUGAGGAGCUUGCUCCUCUGACGUUAGCGGCGGACGGGUGAGUAACACGUGGAUAACCUACCUAUAAGACUGGGAUAACUUCGGGAAACCGGAGCUAAUACCGGAUAAUAUAUUGACCCGCAUGGUUCAAUAGUGAAAGACGGUUUUGCUGUCACUUAUAGAUGGAUCCGCGCCGCAUUAGCUAGUUGGUAAGGUAACGGCUUACCAAGGCAACGAUGCGUAGCCGACCUGAGAGGGUACUCGGCCACACUGGAACUGAGACACGGUCCAGACUCCUACGGGAGGCAGCAGUAGGCAAUCUUCCGCAAUAGGCGAAAGCCUGACGGAGCAACGCCGCGUGAGUGAUGAAGGUCUUCGGAUCGUAAAACUCUGUUAUUAGGGAAGAACAAAUGUGUAAGUAACUAUGCACGUCUUGACGGUACCUAAUCAGAAAGCCACGGCUAACUACGUG